CCCGACUAUGCCUGACUUUUGUGCAGCCUACGGAUGCUCUAAUCGCCGCAGUCUGGAAACAAGAACCCGUGGAAUCACCUUUCACGUGUUUCCCAAAACCGGAAAGAGGAGGAGGCAGUGGGAAGCUGCCCUAAGAAGGCAGGACACUGCUCUGCAGUGAGCACUUCAGUUGUGAGGACUUUGACAGGACGGGGCAGACUGUCCGGCUUAAAGAUGGUGUUGUGCCAACAGUAUUCAACUUCCCAGCUCAUCUUCAAAGGCCGGAAGCAACAAGAAGCACAACCACUUCAAGAAGAGCGGAAGAUGAACCUCAGCCUAAUGUUGUGAGUAUUCUGAAUGUGGCCAAGACCAGAGAGAUGGUCAUUGAUUUCAGGAGGGUGAGGACGUCUCCUCUACCCCUGUGCAUUCUGGGAGAGGAUGUGGCUGUUGUGGAGGACUACAAAUACCUGGGAGUGCACUUAGACAAUGGGCUGAACUGGAGGAUCAACACUGACG
This is a long non-coding RNA of Trematomus bernacchii (emerald rockcod), 495 nucleotides long. RefSeq lists it as uncharacterized. NCBI's taxonomy places the organism in Eukaryota, Metazoa, Chordata, Actinopteri, Perciformes, Nototheniidae. The transcript has 3 exons. The record is from RefSeq and is a predicted model, not a curated record.